AUGCGGAGGGUGCAAGCGUUGUUCGGAAUUAUUGGGCGUAAAGAGCAUGUAGGCGGACUGUUAAGUCUGGUGUGAAAGCCCGGGGCUCAACCCCGGAAGUGCAUUGGAUACUGGCUGUCUUGAGUAUGGGAGAGGAAAGUGGAAUUCCGAGUGUAGGAGUGAAAUCCGUAGAUAUUCGGAGGAACACCAGUGGCGAAGGCGGCUUUCUGGACCAAUACUGACGCUGAGAUGCGAAAGCGUGGGGAGCGAACAGGAUUAGAAACCCUAGUAGUCC
This 274-nucleotide ribosomal RNA is filed under the name uncultured bacterium. Its description in RNAcentral is "partial 16S ribosomal RNA". It matches the Rfam family "Bacterial small subunit ribosomal RNA", at positions 523 to 796 of the family's 1533-position model. The record is from RNAcentral.